This 523-nucleotide long non-coding RNA is filed under the name Trifolium pratense (red clover). RNAcentral's name for it is "long non-coding RNA (TPRA_LNC010804)". The record is from RNAcentral. Lineage: Eukaryota; Viridiplantae; Streptophyta; Magnoliopsida; Fabales; Fabaceae.
AAAAAAAAAAAAAAAAGAGAAAAGAAAAUAAGUUUUGUGAAGAAGUGUCAGAACAAAAGAAUCACCACAAAAGAAAAAGGGGAAAGUAAAAGGGAGUGAAUGAAUCAUGAGAUGAAAUUAUGCUGGUUUUGUGCUCUCUUAUCUUUGAGGCUUUUUGAAUCCAUAGAAAAACAAUGAAUUUUUGUAGCCCAGCCCCGUUACAAGCUUUAUGAAGUCCUUAGUGAUCCACGAUUGAUAACAUGUUUUGUGAUAUUGCUUAGAUGACUGUUUGAAUUAAAUUGUUGCAUGCACAUUGCUUGGAUUGAGUGAAACACUUGCCCUUGAGUGAUAUAUUUGUGAGAAAUUUGUGAUAACACUUGAAUCUUAAUUGUUUGAUAAGAAUGUUGAGAAUUUUGCUUAGGCAUAGCAAUCACUUCAUGAUCAUGCUUUGUUGCUUUGAAUAUUUUGAGGAUUAGUCUUUAGUUGACAUUGCUUUACUCAUGCUAGAAAGAAGAUUUUCAAACUUUGAUUGAUUACAAACCCA